CUUUGUCUGCCACGUUCGUUGGGCUUGGUAAUUCUUGAACCAAUUCUCAUUGAGCCAGGGUUAGGAAUAUUUCCGCGUCGGCGUGAUCUUCUCGCGUUAGAACUUCCCAAGGCGCGGGUGACCUUACCCACCUGAACCCCGGUUCAGUCAUCGGUUCAGCGGCGUGCGCAGACCCUUC
RNAcentral lists this non-coding RNA (178 nucleotides) under Candidatus Symbiobacter mobilis CR. RNAcentral's name for it is "6S / SsrS RNA". It matches the Rfam family "6S / SsrS RNA". Rfam says of the family: E. coli 6S RNA was the first non coding RNA to be sequenced, but its function was unknown until recently. Lineage: Bacteria; Pseudomonadati; Pseudomonadota; Betaproteobacteria; Burkholderiales; Comamonadaceae. The record is from Rfam by way of RNAcentral.